Molecule: long non-coding RNA, 962 nt
Organism: Ornithorhynchus anatinus (platypus)
Lineage: Eukaryota; Metazoa; Chordata; Mammalia; Monotremata; Ornithorhynchidae
Exons: 3
Source: RefSeq, a predicted model, not a curated record
AGCACAAUAAAAGUAAAAGUGGCUCCACACUGCCCUCAAGAAAUUUACAUCUAAUGAGGGGGAAAGUAGACACAAAUUGCUGCUCCAGGGUGAGGACAUAAGGAAACAGGCUCUUGCAGGCGUUGUUGGUCUUUCAGCUGGAGGGGUGCUGCUCCGAUGUGGACCUCUGGUGUUCCCAGCCUGGGCUGCAUGGUGAGCCCUUGCAGAUAAAGCUGUGGCUCUGUUAAAUCCCUUGGCCUUGCUCCCCAGUGAAAGAUGUUUACUUUCACUCCUGGAUAUGACCUGCCAGCGUGGAAAUUAAUCACUGAUUUUUUUCAGAUUGGGGAAUAUGGAAGCUACAGAGUGAUUUCUCUCUGUAAACUGUAUUUACUUUGGGAAGUCCUGGCCCAGCUCUUAGCACUAUGGCUUUAUAUGGACAUUAAUGAACGUUCCGGAGCCUGGAGUCCAAGCAACUUCAGGCCUAGGUAACAGAAAGUCCAACUAGGCUCUCACUCAAAGGAUACUUCUAAUUCCAUGAAUAUUAGGUGACACUGCAACUGCCUAAAUCAACAAGACAAGAUGUCAUUAGAAUUAUAAACAAGUUACUCAACAUUUGGUUAUCAAAAAUAAAACUGAAUCUUAAUCAUUUCAUUUCAAAAAGACCACUCAACAGAUUUGCUGCUUGAAGGAGAACAAACCAAUGGGUCAUGCUGCUUCCCCUCUCUAGGCUGCUGAAGUAUAUGAAUGGAAAAGGAUUAGGACUGGUGCUUCGUUUCUUGCCAGACUUUUGAUGACUCCUUGAAUUAUAUUUUCUAUAGAUGCAAGAACCUCAGAACUAAAACAGUAAACAUAUUGACCUUUUUAAUUAUAGCAUAUUUAUUAGGCAAAGUAAUUUCAAAUGACCUCAACUCGAUCUUACUUAAUUUCCAUACAAUUUGUGAUCUUAAUCAUUAUGCUUCUGGAAGGAUGACUAAAUUGCACAG